GUGACUUCGUGUUUCAGAGGCAUUUCGCCUCUCUGCUUUUGGCACCUCCAUGAGUGGACUUUUCUCUUGGGGCUCACAGUAUUUUACCCACUUCAGGGAGGUGGCUGGUUGCAGUUUAGCAAAACAGCCACUGACAUUGCUGCUCCUUCAGCCUCUGCAGAUGGAGCUGCAAGAUCCUCGAGGCCUUUUUAAUCCCCAGAAACAAAGUUCGCAGGAGGCCAGAGCCUUUGGUGGUGGGGAGCGGAGUCAGCAGGGGGAGGGGAGAGGCCUUUAGGAGAGACUGAGCCGCCAGGCCAUCGAGGGAACCUGGGCCAGGGAUGAGGCACUUCAGCCCUCGGAGCAGCUGCAGCAGCAGAGUCUGACCUCCCAGCAAGGAGUGCUGGCUACAGAUUCCUGCUUUUGAGUAAUGAAGGCGACCAAACCACAUGACCCUGCCUGCGAAGAUUCCACCUGGACUCCCGGUUCCUCCAAGGAACUGUCGUGCAUUUCAAAUCCAACAGAAAUUCUCCAAAUCUCUACCCUCCUCAGAGUGCAGAGUUGGCUGCUUUUCUGUGCCCCCCGCUGAUCACCGCAACCCCUGGGUGCCUCGGCCUGCGAAGCCCCAGCUGUCCUCCGUCUGCAGACAAGCCAAGAGGAUGUUCUCAGACCUGAUGGAGUCACUGAGGGACCCUGAUGAGGGCUCUGAGUAGCCCUGGAUGGGAAGGAGACCUCUUCAUCCCCAGGCACAGGGAGACCGGCUUGUGCAAACCACCUGAGAGAGAAAAGAGAACUGGUUAUAAAAAGGAACUGCUUCUCUUAAUGACUCUUCAACUCCAGAGCGACCUGCCCAAGGGCAGGGAGCAGUGGGACUCGGGGAGUUUCUGAAAGCAGGGGCCAUCCAUCGCCUGGCCCUGCCUCUGGCUACGUGCUGCCUUCUGCAGACCUCAUCACUGCUGUCCUCUGUGGCGUUUAAUCAAUGGCCUUUCUAGGGGUUCUGAGUGAUGCUGUCUCUUGUCGGAUGAGAAUCCACCUGCAGUUGCCUCUGGAAGGAGUGUUCCAAAAGAGGGGGGUCCCAGGUUCUCCCUCUGCUGGGAGGGGGGAGGUCACAGGAGACGCUUUGGCCCCUGGGCAGCCCUUGGGGUUCCUGAAACUCCACAGGGUCAGUGACAACAAGGAACAUGCUGCGGACCAGGCUCCUCCAGGCUCAGCCCCAGAGGUGGGACAGAAGAGAUGCCCAGAGCUCUGGGCCCCUGCGAGAUCCAGCUCCCUUGUCCGCUUACAGCCGUGGCUCUGCCAUCACCUACCUGGAACCUGGCAGGCUGUUCUCAUGUCUCCUCUAUCCUUGGUCAUGUCAGCAGCCAAGAAGCCCAGGACCCAAGUCCUCCCUCAUCCCCACUCCAAUCUCCCCCAGCUCUGAGGCAUGAGGACCCCCCCCACCAACUCUUCCUGAUCCCCUUGCCCCCCUCCUACUCCCUGAGUCUGGGGUCCCCUUACUAUCCUCCCUCCAUCUUCUUUUCCCCACAGCAUGGCUACCCUUGCACACGCUCAGUUUCUUGCUCAUUUAUUUAUCUGAGUUCUAGAACGCAUGCUCUGGGCAGCAAGAGCUUUUGUCUGCAGAUUUUUAUCUCAUGUAAAAUAGGCCAUGGCUCUGGAGAGGGAGAAGUGCCACGGCUGGCCACUGGAGAAGUGGCUUAGGGCCAGAGGCACCUGCGUUGGGGGGACAGUGAAGGCUGUGGGGACGGAAGACCAGAGCUCAAGUGCUGCCUGCCUUUAACUUUCUGGACAGGCCACAGGAGAGGCUAGGCGGGGCUCCGUUUCCAAGUGUGGCGAGGAAGUCACUUGUCACCAGGGUUCCCUGCAAUUGAGCCACCCAUUAAUGCAUAAUGAUGUCAGCUCCUGCAAGCCUGUGAAAUAAGUGCCAGGCCAGGGCUUUGAACUCCUGAGCAGCAAGGUGAUUUGUAUGUGCAGAGACCACUCACGAGGAGGCCCUUCAAUACAAGUGUCCCCCCAUAAUCUGGGUUUCUCUCUAGUUUCAGUUCCUGAGCAGGUAAGCAAAUUUCAAAAUAAUUUUUCCAUAAGUCGAUUAUGAGGCAUCGGUGCCAUGGAGGUGUGGCUGACACCUCUGCCCUGGUUGCAUCCUGCAUCCCUGAAGCUCUGUGCUGUGACUCAGUGAGGUAAUUGUCUCUGUACCCCCAUCACUGCCCAGUGGAUGCAGCCAGGGGCAUGGUUUUCUCCCUUAGUUUACAAUGAGAUUAAAGGGGACAUUCAACACUCCUGACUAUAAAGAGACAGAUACAUGCUUUUCUUUUUCUUUUUUUCCUUUUUUCUCUUUUCCUUUCCCUCCUUCUUCCCUGUCUCUGGAAAUCUCUACAUAAAAGGAUGCUCACU
Molecule: long non-coding RNA, 2367 nt
Organism: Pongo pygmaeus (Bornean orangutan)
Lineage: Eukaryota; Metazoa; Chordata; Mammalia; Primates; Hominidae
Exons: 4
Source: RefSeq, a predicted model, not a curated record